ACCAAGGAGUCAAACGCUUGAAAGUCGGAGGGCUCGCAGUCGGACACCAGGGUGCGAUGAAGGGGAUGGCCGUGGCGGCCCCUGCCGAGGUGGGAUCCCACCACCCUGUGCGGCAAUGGUUGCACCACUGGCCCGUUUCGAAGGCCCCAUCUGGGAGGUGGAGCAUGAGCAUGCAAUAAGACCCGAAAUAUGGUGAACUAUGCCUGGGCAGGGCAAAGGAAAGUAUGGUGGAGGUCUGCAGCAGUCCUGACAUGCAAAUCUGUCAUCUGACCUGGGUAUAGUGGCGAAAAACUAAUCGAACCGUCUAGUAGCUGGUUCCCUCCAAAGCUGGCUCUCGUCACGAACCCUUCACAGUUUUAUCCAGUAAAGCGAAUGAUUGGAGGUCUGAAAUGAUCUCAACCUAUUCUCAAACGUUUAAUGGGUAAGAAGCUCGGCUCGCUGGCAUUGAGCCGGCAUGGAAUGCGAGCACCUAGUAGGCCACUUUUAGUAAGUAGAACUGGUGCUGCGUGAUGAACCGAAUGCCGGGUUAAGGUGCCCAAUGCCAACGUUCAUCAGACCCCAGAAAAGGUUUUGGUUGAUAUAUACAGCAGGACGGUGACCAUGGAAGUUGGAACCCACUAAGGAGUGUGCAACAACUCACCUGCCGAAUAAACUAGCCCUGAAAAUGGAUGGCGCCGGAGCAUCUGGCCCGUCACUGGCACUGAGAGACCAUGGUGACUAGGCUGCAAUGAGUAGGAGGGCCACCGUGGUGGGGGUGGAAGCCUGGGUGGAGCCGCCGCAGGAGCGGAUCUUGGUGGUAAUAGCAAAUAUUCAAACAAGAACUUUAAAGGCCGAAGUGGAGAAGGGUUCCAUGUGAACAGCAGUUGAACAUGGGUCAGUCGGUCCUAAGAGAUGAGUGACGUUAGGAAGGGAUGAGCGAUGUCCUUCGUCGACCUCGGCCGAUCGAAAGGGAGUCUGAUUCAGAUCCCAGAGCGGUGGAGAUGGGCAUUCAGUGCAGCAACGCAACAGAUUCCAGAGAAAGUGUUGCUGUUCCAGUGGUGUCCGGUGAGCUCUCGCCGGCCCUUGUAAAUCUGGGGGAAAGGGUGUAAAUCUCGCCAUACCCAUAUCCGCAGCAGGUCUCCAAGGUGAACAGCCUCUGGCG
This is a non-coding RNA of Pelobates cultripes (western spadefoot toad), 1141 nucleotides long. NCBI's taxonomy places the organism in Eukaryota, Metazoa, Chordata, Amphibia, Anura, Pelobatidae. The record is from the annotation of a GenBank genome assembly.